UGGUGGUUUGAAUUGUCUGGUUGAUUCCGUUAACGAACGAGACCUCGACCUGCUCACUAGUCCGGCCCAUUGCUUCCUGCAAUGGGUACCGGUACUUCUUAGAGGGACUAUCGGUGUGUAGCCGAUGGAAGUUCGAGGCAAUAACA
RNAcentral lists this ribosomal RNA (146 nucleotides) under uncultured eukaryote. RNAcentral's name for it is "partial 18S ribosomal RNA". It matches the Rfam family "Eukaryotic small subunit ribosomal RNA", at positions 1299 to 1458 of the family's 1831-position model. The record is from RNAcentral.